GUCCUCAUUCAUAUUUCAACUAUAACCAAAGUAUUAUUGUGCUGUACGAAGAGUGGUGAUAUUAUUGUGGUAGAUGAAGAUGAUGGAUUGGCGAAGUAUAAUAAAAAUGGACAAUUUCUAGAUCUACAUUCUUAUCCUAAUUACGAUCUUAGAUCCAAAGUCACUAUGUAUAUAGAUUCUCUGCUUUUACUCCCCGGUGAUGGUGACAACAAGUCAGAUUAAGAAGAAUGAGACUAUAUGUCAAAUGUGGAGCAGCCAAAGAGUUAAGAGUUAUGUGAAGAGAAUUAGUGAGCACAAACUCCAAAAGCAUGACUUGGCUGAACUGAAUCCUAGGCUUCCAAAAAGCAAGUGUAAAUUAUUUGAGUUCUAAUUUAUAUUGUAGUGACGGCUUGAAAUUGUUUAAUAUCAAAAUUAGAAUCACAAUGUCAGAAUGGAGAACA
Lathyrus oleraceus (garden pea) is the source of this 440-nucleotide long non-coding RNA. RefSeq lists it as uncharacterized. The transcript is spliced from 2 exons. The record is from RefSeq and is a predicted model, not a curated record. Lineage: Eukaryota; Viridiplantae; Streptophyta; Magnoliopsida; Fabales; Fabaceae.